RNAcentral lists this ribosomal RNA (221 nucleotides) under uncultured bacterium. Its description in RNAcentral is "partial 16S ribosomal RNA". It matches the Rfam family "Bacterial small subunit ribosomal RNA", at positions 129 to 334 of the family's 1533-position model. The record is from RNAcentral.
CCCUUUAGACGGGGACAACAUUCCGAAAGGAGUGCUAAUACCGGAUGUGAUCAUCGUGCCGCAUGGCAGGAUGAAGAAAGAUGGCCUCUACAAGUAAGCUAUCGCUAAAGGAUGGGCCUGCGUCUGAUUAGCUAGUUGGUAGUGUAACGGACUACCAAGGCGAUGAUCAGUAGCCGGUCUGAGAGGAUGAACGGCCACAUUGGGACUGAGACACGGCCCAA